AGGUGCAGCUUUCCUGACGACUGUCGCCUCUGCCGGGAUGAUUGCAGGAUUUGGCUCAACGUUUGCAAGGAUCAGAUGGUGGCAGGUGUCCCAGCAGGGUCAGACAGCCAUGGAAGUACAGUCUACAGAGCUCUGGUGAAUUUUGUAGUAUAUUAUAACGAGUGAGGGGAUACAAAGUCACAUCUUGAGUUGAUGGCUAGGCUACAGUCUGGGAAUAAUGGUCAUUUCAGGAUCAGAUGGUGACAGGGGUCUCAGCCAACCAGGGAAGACUAAUGCGUGACGGCACUGAGGAACGAUGGCCACCACUGCAGUACCGGAGACAGGGGCGUUCCUGGCUCUCCGGGCCCUGGGCUGGGGCUCGCUCUACGCCUGGUGUGGAGUGGACCUGCUCAGCAUCGCAGUCUGGAAAGCCAUGGGGUCCAUAGUGUACGUAUUAAUGAACUCAACCCAUCUCAUUGUCUAGCCCUUAUCAUGCCGUCAGAAAACAGACCAGCAUCAUCACUAUUACCCAACACUCAGCAAAUGUAGAACAUAUUUGUCCAUCUUUGCAGCUAACAGAUCAGGCAGAUGAUGCAGUCUGUUUUCCCGGCUAUAAAAAAAAAACGAAGGAUCAGCCAACUCAAGAGGAAUGGGACACCAUCUUCAAGUCUAAAGAGGACUGAAGGUCGAGACUAUAUUCUCACCCUGGCUGAGAGCAGCAUUAAUAAGUCACUGCGGGACUUAACCAUUACUGUGGGAUGGGCAGUCAGUUGGUCACUGUGCUGAGAAGGAAAUGAACUUGGCGUCCACAAUGCGUGGUCCAGCCACUCUUCACUGAUGCUCAUCUGAAGCCUAUGAAGAGAGCACCCCUUGCCUGAAGGAGGAAUUAUGAAACAAAUGACUGUUGGACUGAGGCAUCACGGUUCAUUUAAACUCCCUUGGAUAAUCUUAAUUUCUGAUCAGAGGUUUACUAUGUAAAACCACAGGAGCCCUGGACAGUCUUGUACUGUACAGUUAGCCUAAACACCAAUCUGUUUGUGUUCGUUGUCAAGCCAAAUUGUUGCUAUGACGAGUAUCACAUAGUUUACAUAAGACGGGCACUAAGGCUAGUACAGUAGUCCUCGGCAGCGACUGCUUUCUCAUUUGUGUAGUGCUUGAACAGAUCUUGAAUCUACUCACUGUGCUUUGUCAUGAAGGCCACGAGAUGGAUUGUCUUAAAUCUGUAUAUGAUCGUAUUUCUUUGUCAAUCAAAAUGCAUUUCACACUAUUUGUUCUGCGAAAGAGUAAAAAGCUAAAUGUGUUUGCAAUUCUGAAGACAGUGAAAGUUGUGCAGCUGAAUGUGAGGUGCCUGGUUUCUCUUACACAGAUUGAACCAUCAUCCAAUGUAACACCUGUGUUUACCGUCAGCUAUUCCCAUAAAAGACUAGUAUAAAAAUGAGAACAAACCUGAACUAUCUUAAACUGGGCCCGGCUAGCCAUAUAACAAGUAUAAAAUGAGAACAGACCUGAACUAUCUUAAACUGGGCCCGGCUAGCCAUAUAACAAGUAUAAAAUGAGAACAGACCUGAACUAUCUUAAACUGGGCCCGGCUAGCCAUAUAACAAGUAUAAAAUGAGAACAGACCUGAACUAUCUUAAACUGGGCCCGGCUAGCCAUAUAACAAGUAUAAAAUGAGAACAGACCUGAACUAUCUUAAACUGGGCCCGGCUAGCCAUAUAACAAGUAUAAAAUGAGAACAGACCUGAACUAUCUUAAACUGGGCCCGGCUAGCCAUAUAACAAGUAUAAAAUGAGAACAGACCUGAACUAUCUUAAACUGGGCCCGGCUAGCCAUAUAACAAGUAUAAAAUGAGAACAGACCUGAACUAUCUUAAACUGGGCCCGGCUAGCCAUAUAACAAGUAUAAAAUGAGAACAGACCUGAACUAUCUUAAACUGGGCCCGGCUAGCCAUAUAACAAGUAUAAAAUGAGAACAGACCUGAACUAUCUUAAACUG
Long non-coding RNA from Oncorhynchus gorbuscha (pink salmon), 1974 nucleotides. RefSeq lists it as uncharacterized. The record is from RefSeq and is a predicted model, not a curated record. Lineage: Eukaryota; Metazoa; Chordata; Actinopteri; Salmoniformes; Salmonidae. The transcript is spliced from 4 exons.